AUGCAGCAACAGGUGAUCCGGGCGUUUCAUGAUACCCCCCUUGGAGGACACUCGGGCUUUCCAGUAACAUGGCGACGAGUACGCCGCCUCUUUGCUUGGGCCAAAAUGAAAACACACAUUCAGCACUAUGUUGGUUGUUGCCCUACAUGCCAACAGGCAAAGCCAGACCGAGCCGCUUACCCUGGCCUGCUCGAGCCCCUACCGGUGCCCAAGGAAUCCUGGGAGAUGAUCACAAUGGAUUUCAUUGACGGACUCCCAACUUCUGGAGGGGUGAACUGCAUUCUUGUGAUCGUCGAUAAGUUGACAAAAUUUGCUCACUUCCUGCCCCUAGCACACCCUUAUACAGCCGCCAAAGUGGCACUACUGUACAUGAACCAAGUCUACAGUUACAUGGAUUCCCGGGGUUGA
This 408-nucleotide ribosomal RNA is filed under the name Triticum aestivum (bread wheat). RNAcentral describes it as "partial small subunit ribosomal RNA". Lineage: Eukaryota; Viridiplantae; Streptophyta; Magnoliopsida; Poales; Poaceae. The record is from RNAcentral.